UACAGAGGUCUCCAGCGUUGUUCGGAUUCAUUGGGCGUAAAGGGUGCGUAGGCGGCGCGGUAAGUCGGGUGUGAAAUUUCGAGGCUUAACUUCGAAACUGCAUUCGAUACUGCCGUGCUAGAGGACUGGAGAGGAGACUGGAAUUUACGGUGUAGCGGUGAAAUGCGUAGAUAUCGUAAGGAAGACCAGUGGCGAAGGCGGGUCUCUGGACAGUUCUUGACGCUGAGGCGCGAAAGCUAGGGGAGCAAACGGG
This 253-nucleotide ribosomal RNA is filed under the name uncultured bacterium. RNAcentral's name for it is "partial 16S ribosomal RNA". It matches the Rfam family "Bacterial small subunit ribosomal RNA", at positions 524 to 776 of the family's 1533-position model. The record is from RNAcentral.